UGGGGAAUAUUGCACAAUGGGCGCAAGCCUGAUGCAGCCAUGCCGCGUGUGUGAAGAAGGCCUUCGGGUUGUAAAGCACUUUCAGCGAGGAGGAAGGUGGUGAGCUUAAUACGCUCAUCAAUUGACGUUACUCGCAGAAGAAGCACCGGCUAACUCCGUGCCAGCAGCCGCGGUAAUACGGAGGGUGCAAGCGUUAAUCGGAAUUACUGGGCGUAAAGCGCACGCAGGCGGUUUGUUAAGUCAGAUGUGAAAUCCCCGGGCUCAACCUGGGAACUGCAUUUGAAACUGGCAAGCUAGAGUCUCGUAGAGGGGGGUAGAAUUCCAGGUGUAGCGGUGAAAUGCGUAGAGAUCUGGAGGAAUACCGGUGGCGAAGGCGGCCCCCCUGGACGAAGACUGACGCUCAGGUGCGAAAAGGCGUGGGGAGCAAACAGGAUUAGAUACCAUGGUAGUCCACGCUGUAAAACGAUGUCGAUUUUGGAGGUUGUGCCCCUGAGGCGUGGUUCCGAGCUAACGNGUUAAAUCGACCGCCNGGGGAGUACGGCCNCAAGGUUAAAACUAAAUGAAUUGC
Molecule: ribosomal RNA, 568 nt
Filed under: uncultured bacterium
Lineage: Bacteria
Description: partial 16S ribosomal RNA
Rfam family: Bacterial small subunit ribosomal RNA
Source: RNAcentral